CCUACGGGAGGCAGCAGUGAGGAAUAUUGGUCAAUGGGCGAGAGCCUGAACCAGCCAAGUCGCGUGAGGGAGUACUGCCCUAUGGGUUGUAAACCUCUUUUGUCGGGGAGCAAAAGCCGGACGUGUCCGGCUGUGAGAGUACCCGAAGAAAAAGCAUCGGCUAACUCCGUGCCAGCAGCCGCGGUAAUACGGAGGAUGCGAGGGUUAUCCGGAUUUAUUGGGUUUAAAGGGUGCGCAGGCGGGUUUUUAAGUCAGCGGUAAAAUCGUGGGGCUCAACCCCAUCCAGCCGUUGAAACUGGGGAUCUAGAGUGUGCGAGAGGUAUGCGGAAUGCGUGGUGUAGCGGUGAAAUGCAUAGAUAUCACGCAGAACACCGAUAGCGUAGGCAGGUUACUGGGACGGUUCUGACACUAAGGCACGAAAGCGUAGGGAGCAAACGGGAUUAGAUACCCGAGUAGUC
This 458-nucleotide ribosomal RNA is filed under the name uncultured bacterium. Its description in RNAcentral is "partial 16S ribosomal RNA". It matches the Rfam family "Bacterial small subunit ribosomal RNA", at positions 338 to 795 of the family's 1533-position model. The record is from RNAcentral.